RNAcentral lists this long non-coding RNA (22301 nucleotides) under Zostera marina. Its description in RNAcentral is "long non-coding RNA (ZMAR_LNC006008)". Lineage: Eukaryota; Viridiplantae; Streptophyta; Magnoliopsida; Alismatales; Zosteraceae. The record is from RNAcentral.
CUUUUAUAAACGGUUUGAAGGAAGGGAAAAUGAUCAAAAAAGUGAAGAAAACCUUACUACAAGUAGGCGAGCAGAAUGGGGGGAAAAAGACGAACGGAGGUGGAAGCUCCGAUGAGGUAAGGUCUAAGGUUUUUUUGGAGAGAUGACAAAGAGAGAGAAAAUAAUCUAGGGUUUUAAAAAGAGAGUAUUGGGUUUAAAUAGUUUUAUAGUAAAGGAGGGGUAAUAAGGGAAAUAAAAGAGUUUUAAGUUCUUUUAAAUGGGUUGGUUGAUUAACCCAACCCACCAAACCGACCCGACCCACCAGCCCGGCCGAAAAAACGCUCCAAAUUAGUGCUUUUCCGCUUUAAAUCGCUAAAGCGACGCUUUUACAACCAUGGUUGAACAUUGUUCUGAGCUUUUGUAAUAUGGUUUGUGGCCCUUGAAUUUGCAUACCAUUAAUCUGAUUCAUUCUUUGCACCUGAAUUUACCCCAUUUAUAGACUGCUCUAUCUCUUCAUCUUCAAUUGCAACCACAUUGAUUGAGAGCUCAUCCACAGUUCCUGUUUCAGGGUACCAAACAGAUUUAGAAGCAUUAUUAUAGGCAAUAUUUGCAGUCAUCUUGCUUGUGGGGCCAUUGGAUGACAAUGUCCUUCUAUGAGUUGGAGGAUAUUUAGUGAUGUUGAGACAACUGUAGCAAUUCAGAGCUCCAUGUCCCUUGAUAGUGCAUAUUUGACAUGGGAUUCUCUUGAGAUUGAUUUUCCCUUGUUUGUGACUAUUUUUCUCUGUCUCGACCACAUUAGCACUUUGGGUAAACAGAACCACACUGCCAUGCACAAUUAUUAAAAAGAUACAGAGCCUAGCCUACAACUUCAUAUGGGAUGGGAGAAGAUGUACUAGAUGGGAAAAAAUGACACUCCCAAAGAGCGAAGUUAGAAUAGGGGUCAGAGAUUUUUUUUGCAACUAAUGCUUCAGCAUUAGUCAAAAAAGCAGAGAGGAUCUUGGGUCCUAAUAACUCCACACAAGCAGACUAGAUAAAAGUUAGGUACAUCAAGGGAAGAAACAUUGGGUAAAUAGAAUGCAGACCUACAAAAGACUCUCUCACAUGUGAAAAAUAAUACUAGCUAAUAAGGAAACCAUAGAGAAAUGUAUAAAUUGCUUGAGUAACUAUAGGCUCACCCAAAUUGCUCCCUCCAAGCACUCAGAAACAUUAAAGCCCAAAUGCAUCAUACAAGAGAUAAAUUUAGGGAUCUGGUUCAAAAAGGCUCCCAAAUUCUCCAUGUUGUUGUGGAAAAUUAAGGUCAAGAGUCUCAACACACUAAUUAGACUACAAAGUUGGGGCCUUAACAUAAAUAUAACAUGCCCACUAUGUGGAUAGGAGGAAGAAACAUUGCAACAUUGCAACAAAUCCUAACCCUAUCUCUUGUAAUAAACAUCAGGAUAGGCGACGCUAUGGAAACAAUACAAAAAUUCACCGACAAGUCCAGCUGUUGGGGGGGUUCACUGGACUAUGCUAGCAUCCCUUUCCUUGCACAUAUGGUAUGAAAGGAAUAGGAGAUUAAAACAGCACACCCUAAGGUCCCCAGAAAUUAUCAACAGAGAAAUUAUAAAGGAUGAGAGCAUUGCAUAUGAAUCUAUAUCCUAUAAGAAGAACAAUCUUUUACAGAUUGAAAUACAAGUUAUACGCUCAUGGGAGUCUAACCUCUUAAGGUUUCAGUCCUUGGUUGGUUAGUCAGGGCCACAGUUGUAUUAAAGAUAGAUAAUGUUUUACAUUUAAUGUUUUUACAUUUAUUGUAUUUUUUUUUUUGAAGCAAAUACAUUUAUUGUAUUUGCAUUUCCCUAUAUCUGUAAUCUUGGAUGCUGCCCAACCUCCUUUUUCAGUAAUGAAAACUUUAAUUUCUCAAAAAAAAACCACAUUAGCACUUAAAGAAUUGAUGACCAGCGCUACUGUUUUUGGGGAUUUGAUGACCACGACCUACGCCGAAGCCUGCAAAUUCUCUCGAGUAACGGCAACCAUAUUCUCUCCAUCUUUCAUUGAUCAAUUGGCGGAAAUGUUGAUCAGAGAUAGAAAAGAACAAACCGAUCAGUGCUCUCUACUUUGAUCACAAAAACAAUGAUCAAAAUCGCCUCCCAGAAUUCGAUCAAAUAGCAACUGAUACCAUGAGUAAAAUGAGUAAGAUGUGAAUUUGAAAAUGGAGGAGAACAAAUGUUCGAUCCCCCCCAAAAUGUAUUGAAUUAGUUUAUAUACAUUUGAAGAGAUUACUUCUAACAAAAUUCACUACCAAUUAUGUUAGAUCUGAUCCAUUGGAUUAUUUUAGAAACAAUUAGCUAAUUAAAGUAAUUAACUACAUAGGUAAUUAUAAAGCAAAUAAAAGUAACUAGCUAUUUUCAAUAAUACCCAAUUUAUAACUCUAAUACUUCCCUUUGGGAAGAUACUCCCAAAUAAUACCAAUAAUACCCAAAUAAAGAUUACACUGUAUAGACCGGCGAAGAUACUCCAAUUCCUUAGGUGGGCUUUAGCCUUUAAAAACGUCAAGGGUAUUUUUGUAAAUAUUUAAAAAUAUAUAAAUUUCAAAUAUUUAUAUACUCGAUUUAAAUAUCCUUAAAUACUUCAAUUUCAUAUAUUUAUAGUACUAAUAAAAAAUACUUAAGGUUUAAAGUUUAAAGUUUAAACAUCCUUUAUGUACUAAAUCAGAUUAUAUCUUCUUGGCCCUUUUACGCUUAUAGAUCAUUGGUGGUGCAGGUUCAGGCUUAGGGUUUUUUUCAGAUUCAUCUUUAGGCUUAGUAAUAGGUCUUGACUGACGACUCCUAGUCGAAGACCACAGGUGAUCAGUUGCUCCAACGGUUUCCUCCACAUCGGCCCAAGUGAGACCGUCUUCAGUAUAGACGAAUUCAUUGCAUGCACCGGGUAUACCAGUCACCCACUCACUAUGGUGGUUGAAUUCAUCAACACAGAUGGCGUCAUAUUUCUUUGAACCACUCUCAAUGAGUAGUUUAUUUAUUUUGAACCUCUCGUCCAUCUUCAUAUUGAACUUGGUGUAAAUAAGGUUAUCUUGUCGAACCACACCAAGUCUAUUUUGACUUUUUGUAUGAAACUGCAUAUAAAAGCCACGAUUAAAAUUGUACAAACUAAAAUUAUGUAUUCAAAACAACUUACAUGUGUGAAGAUACUCCAAUUCCUUUCGCAACUAGAGGCAGAACAACAUAAACAAAGGAUUCUCAUGGCAAUUUUCUUCAAUUCGGGGGUUUUAUUAGCAAACAAACCCCACCAUUCCGAUGGCUCUAGUGUUGCAGCCAUAACAUCUGCUUCUGUAGUUCCAAAUCUUCCCGAUCUGCUCUUAUACAAGCACAUGUCGGCAAGUACCUUCAUCUUCAAUUGGAUAUCAUCGACAAUAAUCUUGUCAAGGACAUCUGCAAAAGCCUCUUCAUAGUCAUUGCAUUCAACCGAUGUUUGAGGAUCACUACAGUAAAAAAUAUUGAUUGAUGAGCCAAUGUCCAAAUGAAAAUCAAUAAAAAUUCAUUACUUUUCAAUCUUAUAGUAGAAUAGUGGGUUCAAAAAGAAAGCGGCUUUGACUAUGGAUGACUUGAAAUGCUUUUCCCAACGCUUGUCAAGAAUUUUUAGAAUCGGUCGGUAACUCGAUUCGACUCCACCAAAAUUGUCAAUUAUUGCUUUCUUGGCUGCUAAGAAUGCCCCAUGUAGGUAAGCCAUGUUUGGUUUUGUGUCGCCAUCAACAAUCCUAAGCACCCUCAGUAUAGGUUCUGAUGCUUUCAAAACAUCUUCAACUCCAAACCAAAACCUAGUGUUUACCACAAUAUCAGCAACGUCUAGGCAAUUAUGAUUUCCCCUAGCCCACUGAGACCAAUUAAACGUCCUCAAGUUUUCCUUAGCUUCAUUUAUGCUUUGGAGUGUGAGGAAACUUGUGGCAAAUCGUGUAACUCCACAUCGCACGAGUUCUUUACCAUGAACCUUGAGCCACUCUGCGUGCAAGGUGGUGAUCGAGUGGAUGAAGCUAGUGAUUUUCUUUCCAUGUUUGAAUGUAUCUUUAUAUGUAGGUAAUCUACAAGAAGAUAAAAUUAUAAUUCUGAAUUAUAAAAUAUAAUUUAGAAUUUAAAUGGAAUGGAAUGGAAUGGAAUGGAAUGGAAUGUACCUUUCAAUAUCUUCAAGGACAAGGUCCAACACGUGUGCGGCACACGGAGUCCAAAAGAGAUGUGGAUAUUUCGACAUCAAUAUGUUUCCAGCAAUAACGGAGUUUGAUGCAUUGUCGGUGCACAAUUGAACUACCUUCUCUUUACCUAUUUUCUCAAUCAUCUCGGACAAACCCUCAGCAAUAAACUCUCCGGUCUUCGUUUCUGUCGUGCAAUCGGUAGAACCGAGGUAGAAACUUCCCAACUUCGAGUUUGCCAAGAAGUUGAUGAUUGUUCUCCCCCGUCGAUCGGUCCAUCCGUCAGACAUCAAUGUACAUCCACCUUUAGCCCAUUGAUUCUCAUGCUUCUUCUGCAACUCGUGAAUAUUCAAAACUUCUUCUUCCAAAAGAGGUCCGGAAAUAAGGUCAGGUGAAGGUAUCAUGUAACCCGGACCGUAGCGUCCGAUACCCUCUACCCAAGCCUAUAUAUGAGAUAUAUAAAUCCGAUUUAAUUUAGGAAAAUGCCCAAAAUUAAAUUGUCUAAAAUUUAGAUAAAUUACCUGCAAUUCCAUAUUGUUGGCUACAUUGAAUGCAACCCCACUAGUGAUGAAGAACUUUGCACCGUAUUGGUCGACAAUUUUCUUUUCUUGAAUCUUGAUGUGAUCAGCAAUGGUUGUUUGUCGUUUUUCAUCGGUUUUUCUCUUCUUCACUACGUCUAGAAGAGUUUCGCCCUCUUUCAAACCCAAAGGACCCACUAUUUUUAUUUUCCCGCACGAUUUGAUUUCUUUGUUUCCUGAAGAUGAUGAACCAACACCGCUAAUAACAACAUUCCUCUUCACAAAAUCCAUCGGUAGACGCUCAAAAUCAACAAUCGGGGAUUUCCUUGAAGGGAUCUUUUCCAUUAGCACCUUCAAGAUCUCAGCACGAAUUUGGGAAGAGGCUUUAGGACAAUGUCUUGUGCCGAGUUUCCCACCGACGGGAUUUACACGAGUGAUAUGAAGUUUCACCCGAUGGAUGCCCCCCCUAGAGAGAAAUCCGCAUAGGAGACACCGCACUGGUAACGUCUUCGUGUCUUUUUGUUCUUCGGGUGCAUAGGCGGCAUACUUCCAAGUUGGAUCAUCCCAAUUUUUUGGACGAUUCAACUUCAUAUCCGAUAUCAAAUUCGGGUCAAUCGAUUUAUCAUACACACUAGGAUCGACCGGCAUCAAACGUUCUACUAGAGAAACUUGGGGUUGCGGGAGCUCAAUGUUUUCUUCGACGAUCUCGUCUAAUGGAUGAUCGUAUUUCAUCUUGUUCUCUUCAUAAACAACUUAUCCUUAUUGUGGAAUGUAGUUCGAAUCACUUGAGUUAGUCAUAGAAGUUAAAAAAAUCUGGAAAAAUAUAAACAAAUUAAAAAAAAUCUGGAAAAAAUGAUUUAUUUUGGACAUAUUUUUUUCCACGUAAAAACAGGUGACCAGCGAAGGGAGCACUGAUUGGAGAAGAUUUGGGGUGUCUCUUGCGUUUUCCAGAGUUCUGGAAAUGCAAGAGCCUUAAUUUUUAAAUAAAAAUUUAACUAUUUAAGUGAAUCAGAUCCGGGAGUAGUAAAGAUUGAAAUGGAUUUUGAGCUUUGUAAAGCAAUUUAAAUUCCAAUACCUCUAUAAACUAUCAAACAAACAAAACAUUCUUAAAUAUCAAUCAAAAUAAAAUAACAGGCACGAAUCUCUAAUUUUAAAAUUCAAAGGAUGCUAAAAACAAGCUGUCUAAAAUCUAAAUAUUAAUCAAAAUAAAAUAAAAAAUAUCAAACUCCAGUUUGAAAUUCAAAGGAUUAAAAAUGAUCUCUAAAAUCUAAAUAUCAGUUUAAAAAAAAAACAUUAAUCUCCCUCCGGUUUGAAAAAUCACAGUAUGCUAAAGAAAGAUGUCUAAAAUCUAAAUAUCAAUCAAAAUAAAGUAAAAAACAACAAUAUCCAAUUUGAAAAUCCGAAGGAUGAUAAAAUAAAAUGCCUAAAAUCUAAAUAUCAAUCAAUCAAACAACGAUGAAUAGACACAAUAACAUAGACGGAGGAAUUUAGAAGGGAAAAAUGAACCUGAUGUCGAAUGGAUCUCCGGAACCACCUGUCCUCCAGGAUCUCCAAAUUCUCGAACUGAAGGAAGCAGAGCUAGGGUUUAUACGAAGGAAUUAAGAUUUAUUCUUUUAACUUCUGUUCUUUAUAUAUUCAAUAUAAAUAUACUUUUGGUCCCUCAACAAUUUCUUUAAUACAAACUAGAUUCAAAAAGGUUUAUAGAAACAAACCCCAAUUACUGUUUAUUAGUAAUUUCACUUUCUGUUAAGAAUUCAGUUACGAUUUCAAACUUUUCUCAUUUUUUCCCACUUCUUCUGUACGAAUCUAACUUCUUCUUCUUUCUUCAAAGAUUCUUGAAUCAUUUUGAUCGGAGAUGAAGCUUCUCGAUCGAUCGAUCACUAGGAAGAUUCAAAUAAGACGCCGUAAAGAUCAAGGGAUUCAACAACAAUUCAUCGGUUUAUACUGUAAUGCUAUUUUCAAUGAUUUUCUACUCCUGGUAUUUUCUACAACAUUUCAAUGAUUUUCAAUUCCUACAAAGAUUCAAAUGUCCGUUUUACUAUUGAUUUGAAGCUAUUUUUGAGAGAGUGUGAGGUUAAGAUGAAAGAUUCCGGUGAUAGCCAGAGAAGAGGAGAACGAAGGAAGAAGAUGAAGAAUCGCAGAAAUAUUAAUAUUUUAAUAUUAAAAACAUUGAAAAGUUGUAACAUGUAAUGCUAUUUUAUAAUGGUAUAAGGGUUAUUUUGAAUAACCUCUUAAACUAUUUGUUUACUGUAAUAAUUUUCAAUUCCUACAACAUUUAUUUUUCUAGUAAACGACCAUCAUCAAUUCAAUCUAACCAUUCCUACAGCAAUUAAGUCUAACUAUAAGUAUAAAUAAAGGUGGAGGAUGGAGGAGUUAUCAUCAUCUGGAAAAUUUGGUUAAAUCGUCUCUUAAUUCACCCCUGGCGCUCUUCUCUACCUCCGAACUUCUUGGCUCUUCGGUAACUGUCUUUAGUAUUUUAUAUGUGGUAUUGAUACAGGAUAUGAGCCUGAAUUAGUCCAUCCUCGUUGGGUUUUUUUAUCUUUGGAAUUAGGGUCACGAAAGUCGCGUUAACUUAUCUUAGGAGGGGAUCUCCUAAAAAAAUAUAUUGUAUGAUCUUUACAAGAUCCUUGUCCAUGAUACUCCAGAAAGCUCUAAAAAAAGUUUUGUUGAAGCCAUCCGGGCCAGGGCUCUUGUCUGGGUUCAAAUCCAUAACUAUCUUCUUAACUUCUUCGUACCUAGCUAGGUAAUUCCUCUAGGUCUGAGUUUUAUUGGUCUGUGACUGUGUUUGUGAAAUUCUUAGGGGUGCUACUCAAACUCUCCUUACCCUCAGCAUAUAAGACUUAGAAGUGCUCUAGUAUCUUCUCCUCCAUCUCGCUCCUCGAGACCAUCACCUUCCCAUUGGGCCCUAACAUCCUAUAUAGGGAGUUAAGGGUUUUUCUAUGUUUUGUCAUGACUGCGAAGAAUUUAGUGUUCUUGUCCCCGAGUUAGAGCUAAUACGCCCUACUCCUCUGUCUUGCAUCCUCCUCUUAAACCUGUAUUAGGGCUUGUAAGUUUCUUACACACCUUUGUAGCCUCUCAUGUAUUGUUACAUCAAAUGGGGUUAGCUCUAACAAGCUCUCAUUCUUUUGAAUCUCUUCCUCGGCCUAGGCGAUCCUCCACCUUGCUUGAUCCUCCAAUGUCUUCCACCUCUUAAGAACCCUCUUCACAUUGUUUAGCUUCUUGGUGAAUAUAUACAUCGGAGUCCCCCACACCUGAAUCUGCCAAGCAUUUCUGACUAUCUCUUGUAAUUCUUCUUUUCUAAGCCAUGAGUUGGUGAACCUGAAAGGUUUUUUCUUCUCUUGAACGUUCCUAAGAUCGAUGGUCAAGCUACGGUGGUCGGACGUGCCCCCGGAGUGAUUGUCCAACCUCAUAUCGGGUCAUAGAUUAAAGAGUUCGACAUUCCCAAACCCCUUAUCGAUCCUACUGUUGAUCCUAUAUUCUCCUACCUUUUUAUUUAUCCAUAUUGGUAGGUUACCUAGAAUGGAGAUCGAUCUCUUGCAAACAUGCAUUGUCUAUUGCUUGGUUGAAUCUCCUUAUGUUUGGCAUAGAGACUCCGGCAUGUUCUCCUACCCUGUCUUCCCUACUUAUGGCCUCGUUGAAGUCGCCCAGAAGGAUCCAUGGUCCAGUAAUCGUUCUACUUAAUUUUAUCAGCUCGUCCCACAGUUUAUCCCUCUUUUUGUAAUCGGUUGAGCCAUACACUAGCUAGUGUGACAUGUAUGGUUAACCCUCUUUUAUUUUUGGCAAAGCAGUGUAUGAAAUGAUCGUGCAAGAUGGUGCUCUCAAUCUCCCAGAUAUUCACAUCUCAUACCAACCAGAUAGAGUCCGGUUCUAGGUCUGUUUCAUUGGCCCUGUUUGAUAUCACCGAGAAAUUUUGUCCAAAAAUCUUACUGAAAUGCGCAAAGUUGACCUUCUUAAUUUUGGUCUCAUAUAGGCCAAAUAGAUCCAAUUUGAAUUUCUUGACAAACCUCUUAACCUCAUCCUUUCUCAUAUAACCUCGUGUUUUGUUUAUCUUUUUUCAUUUUGGUCAUCUGGUUUUUAAGAUAUUCCUCUUCAACCCACACCCACAUGCAUCUAUUGUCUUUUUAGUCUUGGUGCAAUUUGAGAUGUGUGCUUGACUAAUUCCAUCUUGUGUUUUGGUCAAGAUUGUGGCUAUUUCAUCAAAUCUGUUCAAAUUGGGCAGGUUUAGGUUUAUCUAAUCUAUUCCUCACCUGGAACUAACGUGGUUUCAUCAGAUAUAUCCAAUUCAGCGAACGAAAUCUCCACGACCUCGACGAACGUACUGAUUGGGUGAGCUGCGAUACCUCACCCUCACUCCGAUGAUUCAUCGGUGUUCGCAUGGGAAGGAAUCGCAUAGGAAAUGCACCCUUAUUAUUUAAUACAAAAUAAAUCAGCUGCGAAUGCCUUCGCAUUCUCUGACAAUGCGAAGGCAUCACAGCCUUCCAAAAUCUCGCAAUAAAUCCCCACCCUUCAUGUUUCACCGGUUGCCAACCAGUGAAACUUUUUUCCGCAACACAUGGGUUGCGUCAGUUUGCAACCCACGUGUAGUUUUAUAUUUUUUUUUUAAUUUUUUUUAUCCUUUUCUUUCUUCCACGUAGCUUCUAUUCCUCUUGUUUUUGUCUAAUCCUGUUUUUUUUUUCUCACCAUCUUAUCACCAUUAAAUGGGUUUGACAUCCAUCAACCAUCUACUCUUACCUUUAUGUCUCCAUCGUCCUUGUGUUGAUGUUUUUUUUCGACUGUGCUUAUACCUUAGUCAUGUAAUGCUUCCUUUAUUAUCGUUAAUGCUAAAAAUUCAAAAAUAUGUCAAAUCGUGUUAGGCUUCUAUCUUCUUAUCUUACAUCUUCUUUCAUUUCAUUCUUUACUCAUCUUCCACCUUCUUCCCAUCUCAAGUUCUUCACAGAGCACUCCAUCUUCAUCUCAUUUUCUCCCCUCAAUCUAGGAUACGGUUUUUGGUCUUCUUCUUUUUUGGUUAUAUCUAUUUAUAACAUCAAGGUAUAUCUCAAAAUUCAUUAAAUGUUAUUGAUCAAUCAUCACCUUUACCAUAACCUAACAUUGAGCCCCAAAACACCAUUCAUUUCUCUCCUAAUUCCUCCUCUAUAUAUAUCACACCACCCCCAUAUCGUCUCCUUCAUGCCCAACCAUUGAUUCCACCCACAGAGCGUCCUAGACCUCAGUGUAAUGUUAGUCUUGAUUUUUACUCUAUCCAAAACGAAAAACCAUCUGAUUGUAUUCCUAAUGAAACCUAUGGAAAUGUUCAAUGUUGAAGAAUCAAUGAUUUUUCACUUAUUCCUAAUUUCCUAAUGAUACUUAUGGUCCUCAUCAAUACCAUGACACUCCAUUAGACAAUCUGCAGACUCCUAUUUCUUCUGGGAAUAAUGAUGUAACUGGAUUACUUAAUGCUAUUAAUUCUUCCGACAAUGUUUCUCCUAGUUUUUUCGUUCCCAAACAACCCACUGAUACCAAUUCUUCUUCAGACAAUGUUAAAGUGAAUUCACCACUCUUUUUUGGUCAAAUUUUUUUCUCAUAUUCUGAUGCUCUUGAUCAAUAUUAUGGUUAUGCGUCGAAAAUGGGUUUCUCUGUUCGUUUGGGUUCUACAAACUAUAGAACUAGUAAGGAUGAUGGUAAAAAAAAUUUAGUUAUGCGACGAUUGUUGUGUUCGAAAGAAGGAAAAGUCGACCUAUUACAUCCUCCUAAAUUAGGCAAGCGUCGCAAGAAUAAAGUUUCAAGGUGUGGUUGUUGUGCAAGCAUUAAAAUAAAGAAAGAAGCUGUGUCUGAAGUAUGGAUUGUUAAAAAUAUUAUUCUAGAGCAUAAAUCGUUCGAUAUCCUCUACCUCCAGAUUACUUUUCAAAUCUCUUAGUGAAGUCAAUGUACCCGUUUCGCAGCAAACUGCUUAUUUUUCAGCUCGAGUUGGUGGAAUCGAUCAUAUGGGAUGUACGCAAUUGGAUAUAUCGAAUUUGUGUCGGGACGAUCGUGUCGAUCUGAAGAAUUAUGAUGUUGAUCUAUUCGUCGAGGAAUUUGAAAUGAAGAAGUCUGUACAACCGGAUUUCUUUUAUUCCAUUGUCAAGGAUUCGAUUGGUAGACUGAAAUAUGUUUUUUGGGCUGAUUCUAUAAUGAUUCAACAUUUUAAGUUAUUUGGAGAUGCAGUUACAUUUGACACCACUUAUAAGACGACUGUUUAUUCUUUGAUAUUUGGAAUGUUUUGUGGAGUAAUCAUCAUAGAAAGACUGUCAUCUUCGGUAGUGCAUUUCUGAGGUAACAUAUCAUUUUACUAAUGGUUAUUGUCGACUUAUGAAUGCUACUUUCUUAUAUCCUAAUGUAUAUUUUUAUAUCCAAAUAAAUAACCUCAUGUUCUCUUCAUAUUAGUAACGAGAACGUCGAUGUGUUUACCUGGUUGUUUAAAAUCUCCGUUGAAUGCAUGGGGACUGCUCCGAAAUCUAUAAUUACUGAUCAAGAUCUUGCUAUGAAGGGUGUCAUUACAAUUGCUUUUCCUUCAAGAUUUCACCGACUUUGCCGAUGGCAUAUCACGAAUAAGUUGUCUACUAAAGUGCCCAUUGUUUGUCGUGAUACCAAUGCCUUGAAUUUAUUUUAUCAAAUUAUUAAGUAUUCUGAAACUUCCGAUGAUUUUGAAGAAGCUUGGGCUUUAUGGUUGACCAACAAUCAUUUGUUGUCGAACGUUUAGUUGAAGAGUUUAUAUGAUAUUCGAAAGUCUUGGGUUUCAUGUUUGAUGUGCGAACAUUUUUUCGCUGGUAUGCAUUCAACCCAAAGGAGCGAGGGUAUGAAUUCAUUUAUCAAAACUAGGGUUACUGUCAAAAAUUUACUAUUUCAAUUUGUUCGUCGUUGUGACAAUAUGAUAAAUUUAAUCUGAGAGAUUGAGAAUCUAGACGAUCAUAAAGACACCUUUUGGCAUCCAAAAUAUAUUACAUCUAUGGAAAUUGAGGUUGAUAUCUUGAAAUUUUAUACGACCGCUAUUUUUCUUUUAUUUCAAGAGAAGAUGCAGAAAAGUUUUUUCUAUCAUAUACUCUCAGCGACGGACGCUUCGACUGAGGUAUAAUUUUUUACAUGCCCAUUGUAUUUUCAAUUUUAUUUAUGUUCUUUUUUUUACCUCUCUCUCAUUUCUUAUAUUAGGGAUUACUUUUCCUCCCAGUUCUAUCUUUAUAAAGGCAAAAGGUAAUUCAUAAGUUGACCCUUAAUAAAGACUCAAAUAUACCAAGAUGCAGUUGUCAUAAAUUUGAGUAUAGAGGUGUUUCAUGUCGACAUAUUAUACAUUAUUUGAUUGUGAAUGGCGCUUCGAAAUUACCUUAAUUUUUUAAAAUGCCCAUACCCCAACGGUUCAAUCUUUACAAGCCGACUCCCAAAAUCCAUUGUCCUCUUAUAUUUUACUUUCGCAGACAUUGAUGACCUACGCUCGCCUAGGAGAACGACAACUGAACAUUCUUAUGGAUUUUGGUAACCAAGCUUUGGACAAGUUGAUUAAAAUCACUGAUGUCCCUAAGAAAACACGACAUCAAUUACAAGAUGCAAGCCACCAAAAGCAACACCGAUAAAUAUUGGUAUACCUGCGAAAGCGAAAACCAAAGGAAGUGGUAAGAGUGGCCGUCCAACAAAAAUAGAUUCAGAGAGAAUGAAGAGUGCCAAAGAAAUUUAUCGUGACCCUAAUGUACCAAAGUAGCUGACUCAAAGUCGUCAACCAAGGAGGUAGAUGCUUGUACAACUUCUUGUAAUGACAUUUUAUUUUUUACCCAAUCAUCAGAACCAAUUUUUUGUAAUGACUUUUUCUAAUGACGAUUUCCUUAAAGCUUGCUACUUAUACACUUAUGCUAUUACUACUUCCCUCUGUUGCAAAUGAUAACAAUAGAUGCUUCCACGUCUCCAAGUAAUGCUAUUACUUAUUUUUGCAAUGAUCAUAGGCCAAGUCUCAUUACUGCUUGUAAAUAACCAACCAAUGCUAUUAUUACUUGGUUAUAUUGGAAAUGAUCAUGAUAGAUGCCUCUAGGAGUUUAUCUAGUAAUGCUAUUAUUACUUGGUUGACUUGACAAUCAUCAGGAUAGAUGCUUGUACAAGUCAAUGUAAUGCUAUUAUGUUCCUUCGCAAGUAUCAGAGGCCAAUUUUUCAUUAAUGCUUUUAACUUAUCUAAUAAUGCUAUUACUACUUGCCUAUGUUGCAAAUGUUUACAAUAGAGGUUUCACGAAUACCAGUAAUGCUAUUAUGUUUUUGCGCAAUGAUCAUAUGCCAACUACUUCGUAAUGCUUGGACAUUAUCUAGUAAUGCUAUUAGUACUUGCUAAUGUUCCAACUGAUAACAAGAGAUGCUUCUACGAUGACAAGUAAUGCAUUAAUGAUCUGAACUUCCCUACUAAUGCUUCUACGAAUACAAAUAAUGCUAUUAUAUAUUUGUGCAAUAAUGCUAUUAUAUAUCCCUACUGCAUGCAUCCUCCCUACUAAUGCUAUUAUUACUUGGUUAUGUUGCAAAUGAUCGCAAGAGAUGCUUCUACGAAUGAAUGUAAUGCUAUUAUGUGUGUGCGCAAUGAACAGAGGCCAAGAUAUCCUUACUGCUUGGAACUUACCUACUAAUUGUAUUAUUACUUGGUUAUGUUGCAAAUGAUCGCAAGAAAUACUUCUACGACUGAAUGUAAUGCUAUUAUGUGUCUGCGCAAUGAACAGAGGCCAAUAUAUCCUUACUGCUUGGAACUUACCUACUAAUGCUAUUAUUACUUGGUUAUGUCGCAAAUGAUCGCAAGAGAUGCUUCUACGAAUGAUUGUAAUGCUAUUAUGUGUGUGCGCAAUGAACAGAGGCCAAGAUAUCCUUACUGCUUGGAACUUACCUACUAAUUGUAUUAUUACUUGGUUAUGUUGCAAAUGAUCGCAAGAAAUACUUCUACGACUGAAUGUAAUGCUAUUAUGUGUCUGCGCAAUGAACAGAGGCCAAUAUAUCCUUACUGCUUGGAACUUACCUACUAAUGUUAUUAUUACUUGGUUAUGUUGCAAAUGAUCGCAAAAGAUGCUUCUACGAAUGAAUGUAAUGCUAUUAUGUAUGUGCGCAAUGACUAGAGGCCAAGAUAUCCUUACUGCUUCGAACAUACGUGCUAAUGCUAUUAUUACUUAGUUAUGUAGCAAAUGAUCGCAAGAGAUGCUUCUACGAAUAAAUGUAAUGCUAUUAUGUGCGUGCACAAUGAACAGAGGCCAAGAUAUCCUUACUGCUUGGAACUUACCUACUAAUGCUAUUAUUAUUUGGUUAUGUCGCAAAUGAUCGCAAGAGAUGCUUCUACGAAUGAAUGUAAUGCUAUUAUGUGUCUGCGCAAUGAACAGAGGCCAAUAUAUCCUUACUGCUUGGAACUUACCUACUAAUGCUAUUAUUACUUGGUUAUGUUGCAAAUGAUCGCAAGAGAUGCUUCUACGACUGAUUGUAAUGCUAUUAUGUGUCUGCGCAAUGAACAGAUGCCAAGAUAUCCUUACUGCUUGGAACUUACCUAAUAAUGCUAUUAUCACUUGGUCGUCUUGACAAUCGUCAGGACAGAUGUUUGUAAUGUUUUUAUAACCAGUAGAACAAGUUACGUUGCGUUUCAUAAUUAAUGCUUUUUAAUAAGUUAGUAAUGCUAUUAAUAUAAGUUCUUAAUGAUAUAACAUAUACUAAUAGAUGUACCAUUCCUAAAUAACAUUCCACCUGUAGUCAGCACAAUACAUAAUAUACUAACAGACACAACCUAAGCUCUUUGCUUGUAAUGUAAGUAGCAUUUAACAUCUAGAAGAGAAGCUCGAAGAAUAUCAUAUACGAUUUUUUUGGCCAUUUAUCCACAUCUUUCCUGCUCCAUAGCACGGUGUCCCCCAUGACUAUGUAAUUCAUUGCCAUGAGAACAUAUAUUCCGCUGUCUGGAGUCAUCUUGAAUGAUGCCUGCGGAAAAUCUUCCACCUGUAUUGUUAACCAAUGAGAUUUAUGAUGGUCGGAAUACACGUUCAUAAUGUAGUGAUUCAGCCAUAGUACCUGCAUUGAAGAAAUGUUUAUUUUUUAGAAAAAUGGUUAAAUUAGGUCGACCUACCAAGGUAUAAAACUUACGCAGUCUGCAAAUUGUUUGUUCAAUGGUUCCAAUUUGCGAAAAGGAGAGUAGUGAUAAAAUAUUUUCGUGCAAAUGCACAGAAAUAUUAAAUGUGAUACUCCUUGUCUCUCAAUGGGGACCAAUACUUUCUCGAUUUUAGUCCAGUCGUCGUUUUCCCCAUCAAGGUUUUUCUUCAUUGUCAACCAUUCUUUAUCAUUCAAUUUUCUAUUUAGAGGUUUACCGUGACAUUUCUUCUGCAUAAAUUUUGCUAUUUCAUUUCUCGCUUCCUAAUAAUAACGUUCUAAUGUAUCAUAACACUUACCAUUUGGAUGGAGUGCAAGAAUUUGACUAUUCCAGUACGCAUAUGAUCACAAAUAAUCUUCUUCUUCAGAACCUGUAUAAACAUAGAAACACAAUGUACCGAAGUACAUCGAAAUUUUGAAAAAUAGUCAAAUUCUUGUCUAUAUUAUUUAAAUCGUUCUAUCGAAGUAAUUUUUACCGGGCCCUUCACCAGCAUGUGGGCAGUAAUAGAUAUCAAAGAUGUUGAAUCGCACGAGACGUUGUCUAUUGUGAGCAUCCCAUCUAGUGCUGCCCUCUCUAUUAGCUUGUUCAACUCUACAUGCUCAUCUUUGGCUAGUUUACGUCGUGUCAGUUUAUUUUGGUCUACCUGAUCCUUCAAGAUGAGGUCAUGUUUUCUUCUUACUUAGUUGACCUAUAUUAGAAAAUAGCAUUUGGUUGUAGUACAUGUACAUUAGGUGAAUAAUACAGAUUUCCUUUACUUACAUGUCGAUCCUUUAUCCGUUUGACCAUAAAGCUGAGUUUCGGCCUAACAGGCUGUCCAUGUUGUCUAGAUGAAAUCGGGACAUUGUCCAGCUCGUCGUCGUCGUGUCCUUUCAUUUUCCUUGCCCUCCCUCUCUCUUGCAUUCCAUUCCCUCGUCCUUUUUAAAAUGUUGUCACCUUUAUUUAGGUCCCUCAUCUUCUCUAAAAAUAUAUUUGAUUUUUCUGCUUUAUCUGCCAAAACACAGGCUUCGUCUAGAAAUUCAGGAUCUUCUUGUGAUGAUAGAUAACUUGGGAAUUUAACGUAAUCAAGGAUAUCUGUGGAAAGAUUUUAUUAGAAUGUAUUUGACAAAUUGUAAUUAUAUGAAAUAUUAGUCGUACUUGAACUUAACAUCACUAUCUCGUGUCCAAUCAUUUUCAGUUACUAUUUUAGCAUUUACUCUAUGACUACGUACAUCAAAAUUUGUAAUACAUAAGAUAAGUUCUUAUAAAAUUAUGAAAAGUCAUUUUUCACAUUUCCAUAUUUCAAAACUACAUUGUUUGAUUUUAGUUUGAAAUUGUCAUAAAUUUUUUGGUAAACAACUCUAAUUUAAAUGUUCCAAACAAAAAGAGAUUUCAAAUAUUGCGAAAAAAGAUAUUCAUUCAAAUUUAUAUUACUUCCUCCGACCCUUUGCGGUAAUUAAUUUCUUCUUCUUACCUUUCCCAUAGGGUAGAGUAACUGUUGCUUCCUUUGGGUCAUUUUCCACCGGAUUGCAAUUAUCUUCAUCAAAAUAAGAGUUUAACAGAUUAUUAAGCAACUUGACAACAAAAUGACGGUAAAAUAAUUAUGUAUUUUUAUACCUUCUGAUGUAAGAUCGACCUUGUUAGAUGUACUUGGACCUGGAUUUCCAAACUUGUUAGCAUUAUCCUUGAUUUUCACCUCCCAAGCUUCAUAUAGUUCUUCUUUCACUUUUUUCAUUGUCGGGUAAUCUGUUGAUCCUUUCCCUUUCACCACAUAAGAUGGUAUUUUUAUUGGCUCCUUAUUCGCUUCAUAAGUUACAUGCCCUGCUUCAUAAUUUACAUUCGGGCCCACAGAGGUUACAUUGACAGCCUCAGAAUUUACCUUCACUGCCUCAGGCGUAAACUUUUCUGCUCAGCUUUCCCCUUCUCUGCCACAAAUAAUUGAAGGCUGAAUGAUGGUGGAGUAAAAUUUAUCUUCAUUUUAUCAUUAGCAUAAUCCAUAUCAUCCUUGCCUUUUCCUUUAUCUGUAGGAAACAUAGUAACAUUAUUCUCAUUUUUUAACCAAUAAGCAAGUAAACUAAAACUAGUAGUAAUUACCAUGGUUUCCAGAUUCACCUAUUUUAAUAUCCACAACUACUGGCCUUGGUUUCUUGGCCUCGUUAGGUCCUGAUCCUGUAAAUCAUAUUUCAACUAAUAAGUAAUCGUCUGCUUUGAAAAAUAAAUAGCCAAAAUAUUUAAUUCUGUUUUUACUAAAAAUUAUGUAGCACAUAAUUAUACACCUGUCUUAACUACUUCAACUUCCUCUGUGACCUUUGGUUCGUCGUCAUGUACGUCAGCAACAUUGAGAAUAUUCUGCUCUUCGACUAUUACUUCCUCCUGCCUUACAUUAUUAUCAAUAAUUUUAUCAUAUAACUGUUCUGAAUUAUCAUGAAACUUUUCAUUUGGGUCAUCAACUUCAAGUAUAGCAGCAUUAACUGCCUCUGAGGCAUCAUUCACAAUCUCUGUAUCAUCAUUGGCACUCUGCUUCGGGUCAUCUUUCUUUAAUAUACCAGCAUCAAGUUCCUCAGAAGCUUCAUUUGAACAUUUUUUUGUUUCUUCCUCAUUCAACAUCACUGUAUCAUCACCCACUGCCUCUGAAAGAAUUUUUUCAACAUCCACACUUGAUUUAUUACCAUCUACCUCUUCAUUUGCAGCAUCUUCUUCUUCUUUUUCCUUCAUUUUCACUCUUCUUCGCAGCAAUUUCCUUCGGCACUGCAUAACAAAUGCAAAUUUUUUUACCUAAACAUAUAGGUCGUUCAAUAAUAAUUUUAAAAUUUCAAAAAAUAAAUAUACCUUCCUCUACCACUAUUUCAUCAUUGCCAAAACGAACUUUCUUUGAUUCUUUUGGUUUCUUUAAUUUCUCCAAAUAUUUCUCCGCCGUGUUUAAACUACCGGCACUCUCAGAUCUGCCACUAGAUAAUCUUGAACUACGACGCACUGGGGAUUGCCCAAUUUUCUUUUUUUUGCUUGCUUUUUUUUUAUCCAAUAUUCUAGGUUGCUCCUUAUCAGUUCUGAUUGUAGCAUCGACUGUCUUUUUCACAGCACUUCCUUCCUUACUAGUAUUCUUCUGUAUUUUUUUCGCUUCAACAAGAUGCUUCUUUCCCUUCGCAAUCGAUUUCUUCUUCUUCUUCGCAUCAAUAGAAUCACUCGAAUCAGAAUUUGUGGUAGAAUCUGAGCCGCCAUCGACCUCAUCAGAAUUACUAGUCUCUUUUUCAGAUGAAUCACACUCCAUGUCCUUCACAAUUGACAAUCUCUUUGCCAAUGCAAUGUCAUGUGGAAAUACCUAUAUGUAAUGAAAUAAAUAUUAGCAUUAAUAGCGUACAAUAAAACAUUCAGGACACACACAUGUACCUCACUAGGCUUCAAACCAGUGAUGUCCUCAGAACAAUUACAUCACCACCCCAUUUUUUGAAGUAGGGUUCGAAGCCCGCAUAGACGUCGUCCGGUUUAGCAAUCAUCGUAUGCUUGUAUAGCCACACCUAAUGGAUUUCAGCGUAAAGCACAAUAAUUAGAAACAAAAUUUACAAUAUUAAAACAAAAAAGUAAUAUUAAACAUACCAUCAAAACCAAUAUACAGCCAUCCAAAUAUUCUUUGGAUGCACUCGUAGUCUGUCGUCGACAUAGUACACUAUCGCGACAUGUUUCCAUCUUCAGAAAUAGAACUUCUCUGAUAUAAGCAGCCCAAUUAUACUCUUCUAGGAAUCCUAGGUUGUCGACAUAAUCCAACAUUUUCUUCCCAAUCCUAUAAGAAUUCUUGCAGCCUAGGAUUGUAAUAAAAAGAGAUAUAAUCCAGAGCCUCACUAUGUCAUCCGCAUCUUCGUCAUUCAUCUCUUUUUUCUUCUCCAAAAUCACACUCAUCGUCAAACUAACGACAUCUCUUUUCAGAUCAGCAUCUAGAGUUGUAUACUUAUUCGCCCAAUCGCUUGUUGGUUUCGCCUUUGGCUUCAUGUUAAUUGGCAGUCCUUUAAAUGGAACCCCCAAAAUUUCCCCUACUUCUCUAACCGAAAGCUCCAUUUUCUUUCCUUUGAUUUCAAAACAAUAAUUGCCCACAUAACAUCCAACCAAAUCAUCCAACAAUCUUGAUUUGAUUUGAAAAUCAACCAUCCCAAUAAAAGAUCCGAAACAAGUAUCUUUCAUUUUCCGCAUAAUUGAUUUCGAGAUUUUUAUUCUACCCUUGCGGACAACAUCAACAUAUGUGGGAAUACCAUAUCUAUGUCUUAUCAAAUCAUUAACUAGAAGAACAAUAAAUACUUUUUAAAAAAUAUGUGCGGAUGAUGAAAAAUUUAUUCAAAAAUUACUCACUGAUAUGGAGAUUGUCCUCUGUCCUCUCCCUCUUCACCUUCACAACUUUUUUCGCAGCAUUACUGCUCUCACCUUUAUCCUUAACGAUGCUAAAAUCCACACUCAUGCUGUCAAAAGAUACAUUUUCUUUACUCUUUUUCUUCUUGCCCUCUGAGUCAGUAGCACUUGCUGUUUCAAAUUUAAACAGUAAGACACAUAUAUUUUUCUCAUCCAAAUUCAAUCUUAUUUUCGUGAAAUGAAAAACAAAAAAAAUCUUACAAUUGCGCUUGCGCUUCUCCAUAGGCAUUGUUAAAAAAUCUGAUUAUAUAUCAGAAAGUACACUGGACACAACUCUAUCUACGUCGGCAAGGGUAAAAUCAAUGUCUAGGUCACCUACAAAAUAUAAAGUUAGUACAGAUUUUUUCAACUAAUCAAUGCAUGUGGUGACAGCAUUGGAAAAUUGACUAGGUCGGACAAUAUAUAAAAUAAGAAAGAGUAGUAAACCAUCGGCAUCCCCUAUUUCAUCUCUUCUUGGUUGGGUUAAUUGUAUUUGAGAUGAACGGAGAUCGCUAGAUUCAUUCGACGAAGUCAUUUCUUUUUGUUUAAAUUUUUUAGAAAAUCACUGAAAACUAAAAAAAUUCGAUGGUCUAAAAAAUAGUUGUCAAAGUGCAAUGUACAAAUAAAACAGGAUAUAGCUAUUAAAUAUGAAGAACAUGUACCUUCGUUUCUGAAAAAAAAAGCCUUUAGACAAUUAAAAAUACUACUGUUUUUCUUCAACACAAUGUCACACCAAACGCCCAAAUCUGCUCAUUCACAAAAAAAUUAUAAUCGAAGCAAUAGACAAUAUUUCGUGCUCUGUAAAAACAUAUAGUUGAAUACAAAUCGAGUCCUAACCUAAUCCACAUACAUCUAUCUAAAGAAUGUACAUUCCACUCUCAAAAAACAUAAAACUAAAUACUCACUAAUACCCAACACCCUAUUUGGUCCAUCCAACCGCUAAAACAGAGUAAAAACGGAACCCAUCGGAUUGAAGUAGGCAAUGGUUAAAAUAGAAAAAAAUUGUACCCAACUCAAUAACGAUAUCAAUAGUAAAAACAUAAACAAAAAACAUACCUUGUACGUACCCAACCCAAACAACCUUCUUCCUCACGAACUUAUUCCACCAAACACCCUCCUCUGUUUUCGAAAAAAUCUUCACUACAACCAAAAUACUUUUCAAAACAGAGAAGACGUUCAAUGGUGGAGAUGACCGGUUUAAAUAGGGAUAAAUCCCUCUUACCUUGCCCAAAAGACGCGACUGCCUGACCAAAUCGACGCGCAACGUCCCUAGGGUUUUUUGCCGCUCGUUUUCGUCGAUAGUGAAGAUGGGAAAUACAAAUGUUGUGUUGGGUGCGUAAUUCGAAGGAAGGUAAUGCUAUGUAAGUAAGAUGAUUUGAUAGGUAGAUGGCAGAGUAUGAGAUGGCAUUCGUAAAGUUACUAAUCAAUUUUCAACUAGUCUAGUGAUAGACUAAUAGCAGGUUUUUAAAUUUUUUUUACCCGGUAACACCGGUUGGCCGAAAAGAACGAAACCAAGAGUGUAAUUUUAGUAACGGUCGAUUUCAUUUAAAUUUAUUCAACAGCCCGGAUCAGACAAAGUUCGCAUACGAACUUGGUGGCGUAGCUAAUGUUUAAUAACCUUAAACAGUACUCCCACACCCACGUUCUAUCCUAGUUGUAUUUGUUGAAGCCCACCCACGUGCAAUGUUGGUCAAACAAUGAUCUGCUAUUUAAUACUUGCUUACUUUUAUGUGUUAUCAAUAUUUUUAAUUAUUUCACUUAGCUCCCUAAUUUGAUUAUUUAGAGAUGCCUUCCCGCUUAACCAGCCAUGUGAUGUGCUUAAGUCGGAAUUCCAGAUGGUCAGCUACUGAUUAUCAGAGUCCCUUCGGCCGGAACUGUCGUCAGUCCCCUUCCCCGGCUCAUCGGUAAUCUUGGUUAAGUCCGUUGUCUCUUCCGUGUCCGUCGGUCAGUUAUUUAGCCGUGGGUCUGUGUCCUGAUUUUCCUUUUCUUCGUUGGGUUGGAUUGUCUAAUCCGUCCUCUGUGUAGUUUGGUCAUCACCUUCGUUCACCUCUUCCCGGUGGUCUUUGUUCCCGGUCAACUCCUUCCGCUGGUCGUCGCCUCCGGUCGGCUUCUCCCGUUGGUCGUCGUCUCUACCUUUCUUGUUUCUACAUCCUCUGUUAUGUCUGCAUCUCUGUGCUUUUUCCUUGCCAACUCACCACUAGGAAUACCUGCUGAUUUGUUUCUCUUGGUUAGAUUCACUAGCUGCGGACGUGCUCAGUUCUAUUUCUGCUUGAAUCAUUGUCGCGUCGUCCUCAAUUCUCGAUGUUAGAGUUCCCGCGGUCGGCUGUUGGGGAGUUUGAAUUCUUUUUCUUUUUAAUAUUAUGGUCAACUAUUCGGGUCGGGUCCUUCCCCUUUCUUGAUUUUGGUUCGACACCCUUCCUUGAAAACCUCUUUUUUGUUGCUUGGAAAUUUGUUAUUGACCUAGUCUUCCACCCGGCUAAUGACUCUUUUGCCCCUUGGUCGUCGCCGUACUUAUCCAGCUCUCCGAUGAUAGAGUGUUCUUGGAUGAUAUGGAUUGAGAAAAGAAGUUGACGGCCGGAAUGGAUGAAACAGUGCCAAGAUUAGGGUUGCUUCAACCCAGAUCUGUUUUAGGAAAUUUGUAAAAACGUUGAUUACUGAAAUUAAUAAAAGACUUUCCCUUUUAUAGAGUUACAAGUUUCAGACACCACUUAAUUAAAUAGUUCCUGUGGUACACAUGAAAUAAACUAACUAAUUACAUUUCAACUUGAAAUCCCUUAAGCCUUGUUGACUCCCUCUUAUUUCUCGUUGACCGGCGUGUCCCUUCUGCGAUGUUCGCCGGCUCUUCUUCUAUCGCCGUCUCCUCCUCCGUGCUCGACGACUCCUCCAGUUCCAGCAAUCGCCGGACGUCCUUCAGCAUCUCCGACUCUUCCAGACGUCGUCUAUCAUCCGAUGUCUUGAAUAAUCUCCAUGUCCUCCGUACCGCAUGCGUCUUUCUUCUUAUUUGGAUCUCCCGACCCACUUCCGCGUAUCUCCUUAAUUAUUUCUUCCAGUAAUUGCUGAGUGGUCUUUUGCGUGUCCAACUCAGCCAUACGUGUCGCGAUCUCAUUCAGCCUAGCUUCCACGUCAUUUAAAAUUUACCUGCGUAUCGCUUCUUCUUCGUUUUAAACUAAAAUAUUUAUAUAGGAUUUUAAACUAAAAUUUUUUU